This 73-nucleotide transfer RNA is filed under the name Trachymyrmex cornetzi. It matches the Rfam family "tRNA". Rfam says of the family: Transfer RNA (tRNA) molecules are approximately 80 nucleotides in length. Lineage: Eukaryota; Metazoa; Arthropoda; Insecta; Hymenoptera; Formicidae. The record is from Rfam by way of RNAcentral.
GCCUCAGUAGUCUAAAGGUUUAAGACACUUGUACAGAAUAGAAGAGAUCCAGGUUCAACUCCCGGCUGAGGUA